Durio zibethinus is the source of this 3236-nucleotide non-coding RNA. The record is from RefSeq and is a predicted model, not a curated record. Lineage: Eukaryota; Viridiplantae; Streptophyta; Magnoliopsida; Malvales; Malvaceae.
UUUUUUUAAAUCUAAAAUUUCUCGAAUUAUACGUCCCUUAAAUUUUUACCCAAUUUCUUAUUUCUUAUUUCUUUCCCAUUUUUAGCCCCUCUCCCUAAACAAUUCGACAGCUCCCUCGACCCCCUUUUCCCAAACCGUCUGACAACGUCCCUACCCCUACUCCCCUUUGCCCAUCUGCUUGCGCCAUUCCUUACCUUAGCAGACUGCCACCCUUACCUGCACCCGCCCCUUUGCACGAGUUGCACUUCCCCUGUAUGACCCACCCCAUUUCACGAGUUGCGACAGAAUCUUGAUAUUUAGUGGGUCGGUACAAUCACUAGGCCAACUGAUAUCUAUUUGGAGGCUGAGCUUAGCUAGAUGCUUGCAGGGUAAUUACGUAAGCAGAUUAACUCUAACUGUAUUGGGGAACCUAUCUUCACUUCAUAACAUCAAUGGAGCUUGCCUUGUCCCUCUGGAUAAACUAACAAAUGAAAAGCUCUUGAACCUGUACAUAGUGGCUCAACAGAACCAUGAUGUGUAGUUGACAGAUUUUAUUAAAGGCAAAUUCUUAGCUGAGCAGGUGGAUGCCAACAAGAAAAUGUUAGAAUAAGUGGUUCAGUUGAGAAGGAUUUGCAAAGGACAUGUUUGGAAUGCUCAUUUCACUCACGGAGAACCACCAUCCACCAAUACCACUGCUGAAGACUUGGGGAAGCAGAGAGAGAAAGAGAACAUGGUAAGUGAACUGAAAGUAAUUAUUGAUAGGAUGGAGGUUGUUAUGGUGGGAUUGGUGUUGCUUUCGCAGUCUUUUGUGCCCAUCAGCUCACCUUUUCUUUGGUUUUAGCCAUAAUUUUCUCUUGUGCAAAUGGGUGUAUCCAAGGAGAAAACUAGUUUAGGUUAUACAAAUUUUUAUGGGGAGGAUGUGUUGCUGAUUGUGGUGAUGCAACUUGUGGUGGAUGUUCCUCAUUACUUGUAUGAACCAGAAAUCAUGGACAAGUUCCAUUUAUCUUAGUUAUUCUGUCUCAAGGCAGUUGUGCUUGCUACUUUGAAAGAUAGAAUUGCAAACAUGGUGCACCAAGUACUAAUUAUUAAGGUUUAUGCAAAUUAUAAGUGAAGUGAGGCAACUCAGCUGGCUAUUGUUAAGAAAUACUAUAAAGCUGUGCUUCCCUGUAAUAUGCCUUUUGUCAUUUUAGAGAAUAAUUCCACUUAUCAUGGAAAGUAUUGAAUGUCAUGACUUAUUUAAUUUACCAUAGGUAGCUAUGACUAAAUGAUCUGACUAUACAUUAAGUUGGAUAGUUGGUUUUCUCAUUAAUUUCCUAGAGUUAAUGACUUCAUAUAAUUAUAUUGUGAGUGAAUAUAUAGCAUGCAAUAGACUAUAAAUGGUCACAUUAUAAGUUGGUGGAAUAACUUUCUGUUCAAGUCUGUCUUUAAAAAAGAAGGUGCAUGUUAAGAAAAUGCUCUCAGCUCAUGUUAGUAGGACAUUCUUAAGCAAAGGAUUUUCUCUCCUAAUCAAUGACUUUCAUGCCUAACCAUCAAUUUUCGUGCACUAACUGCUAAUUUUCUUGUGUUUUCUAUUGCUUUUAUUCAUUGUUGUAUAGAUUCUUAGAUUUUCUUAUUCGAUUGAUUCUCGUUUGAUCUGGGAAGAGUAAGUUCAAGAGGAAUGGAUUCAAGGAAGCUAUCUCCUGGCAAACUUUCUUCUACACAAGGCGGUAGGGAAGAAGAAGGGAUUAUUUGUGCAGCAAAUGGGAGGAGUGUGCAAAAGACUGCAGGAGAUUGGAGAAAGCUGUUUGUGGCAUUGACAGACCAAUUUUUGCAAUUUUAUCCACCAUAGAGAGAUAACAGAAAGGUGUUAGUCAAACCUUCAGAUGAAGCAUUUGAAAAAAGAGUCUAUCAAGGGUAGAGCUCGCUGGUGGCACAAUUUAUAGCUAGGGUCCCUGAUUUCAGCCAGUUUCAAUGAGCUUGACAAUAUGAUAUGGGGGAAAGAGGGGCUUAUGAACAUCAAACCUGCUGGUGAGAAUUUAUUCUCACUGUAGUUCACCUCUAAACAAGAUCGAAAAACGGUUCUUGAAUCAGGCCCAUGUCAUAUAUAGAAUAAGACUAUUAGUAAGGUAGUAAGAGCCAGGCAUGAAAACCUUGGAGUUCAGAUGAACAGAUGACCUAUCUGGAUUCAUUUGGGUAACAUUUUGGGUAACAUUCCAUUAAAGUUGUAUACUAAAAAGAGAUUGAGCUACAAUGCCAGUGCUUUAGGUAAUCCAUUGUAUAUGGAUAAGAUAACGACAAAUCAAGAAUGGCUUGCUUAUGCCAAGAUCUGUGUAGAUGCUGAGUUGGAUAUGGACAUUCCUUGGUAUAUUGAUGUAAUGCUUCGCAAUGGCAAUAUUACUUCUAUUUCAGUUGAAGUCCCAUGGAUGCUGCCAAAGUGCCAGCACUACAAAUGAUUUUGCCACAUAGAUAAGGCAUGCUUGCAAAAGCCUAUCACUUAAGCUAUUAAGGUUUGUCAACCAAGUGAAGGAACUACUAAGGAAACUGGAAAUGAAUCACAAAAAGUGAUAAAUAGAACAAAAUAGAAAUUUCCCCUGAGAGGGCUAGGCCAAGGAAUGAAUGCAAUCUAAGGCUGUACCUGCAAACAGAUUUGCUAUACCGGAAAUGGUCAAAAAGUGGGAGAAAGACAUAGAGAUGAGUCAGAACGAUGAGGAGCUGAUGGGGAGGAUUAAAAGGUUAUAAGUUGAAAAGGCUUGUUUGCUGGAGACUAAAGUAAAGCAAAAUAAUAUGUAGCAAGUGGUAAGUACUCAUUUUGUAGGAUGGUCCAAUUUUCAUAAUUACUUAUAUGCUUAUAAGGGUAGAAUUGGGUUGAUGUGAAAGUCUGAACUAAAAGUGGACAUGGUGGAAGCAAAAGAUCAAAGCUUAACGUGUGGUGUGCUAUAUGGUACUCAAAAGUUUUAUUUUUCAGCUAUAUAUGGAAGCAAUAAUGAAGGUGAAAAAGGAGGUUAUGGCCACACUUGCUGUCAUUAUAAAGCAAGGUUGCUAGUUGGCCAUGGAUCUUGGCUGGUGAUUCCAAUUUGGUAUCUUAUCCUACAUAAAGCUUAGAUUAUAAUGGUUCCCAAGUAGCUGGAUUAGGUGUAACUGAUUCUCAAGAAUGCUUGAAUAAAGUAGCUACUAUAGAUCAUUCUUUCACAAAACCCUUGUUUACAUGAAGUAACCAUACUAUUUACAGGAAAAUGGAUUGAGUUUUAAUAAAUGAUUUUUGGUUUACUCAAUUGUCA